ACCUGCUUCCUGGCUCUGUCAGGCCUGCCUGGGGUGGCCUUAUCUGACCAAGGUCUGUUUCCUAUGGAAAGGACUGGCUCUGAUGAAGCAAGCACCCCAGUAUUUUUGGCUAAUGGAAUCUCUGAAGUGGUGUCUUUAGUAUUCAGUUAUGUAUAUGGUCAUCUGCUCACUUACUUACAGUUUGACUAUGUGUGAAGAUACCAGUCAUAUAACAUUGGGAGCUCCAUCUCCAUGUCAGGCACUUCAUCAGGGAUACAAGGCUAUAAUACUUGUCCUUGUGGAGAGGAUGGGUGUGCGAAGACAGGUUCAUGUGACGAACGCUGCCGAGCAGUCUGGGGCCUUGUGGGAGCCAGCAGUGAGCAAGGCAGGAAAGGGAUCCCUAAAGAACUGAUGUUUAACUGGGCACAUGGUACAUGCCUAUAAUUCCAGUGGCAAGGGAGGCCAAGACCAGAGGAUCAGGAGUUCAAAGACAUCCUCAGCAAUGAUUAGGUGCUAAGAAACUCAGUGAGACCUUGUCUCUAAAUAAAAUACAAAAUAGAGCUGGGGAUGUGGCUCUGUGGUUGAGUGCCACUGAGUUCAAUCCCUGGUACAAAAAAAAAAGUGAUGUUUGUAUGGAAAUCAAUAAACCUAAUUCAUCAUAUCAACAAACUUAAAAACAAGUAUCAUAUGGUCAUCUUAAUAGAUGCAGAAAAAGCAUUUGACAAAACACAGCACCCCUUCUUGCUCAAUACACUAGAAAAACCAGGAAUAGUAGGAACAUACUUCAACAGUAUAAAAACUAUAUAUGCUAAACCCAAGGCCAACAUCAUAAAUGGAGAAAAUUUGAAAGCAUUCCCUCUAAGAACUGGAACAAGACAGUAAUGCCCUCUUCCACCACUUUUAUUCAACAUCAUCCUUGAUGAACACAGAUGCAAAAUCCUUAAUAAAAUAUUAGCUAUCUCCAUUUGAAAACCCCGAGGAGAAUAAAUCAUCACCAAGGUGGUUUCAUCCCAGGGAUGCAAGGUUGGCUCAACAUAUGCAAAUCAAUAAAUGUAAUUAAUCAUUUAAAUUAAAUGAAGGACAAAAAUCACAAGAUCAUCUCAAUAUAUGCAGAAAAUGUUAUGACAAAAUCUAGCACCCAUCCGUGCAAAAACACUAAAAAAAAAGUAGGGAUAAAAGGAACAUACCUAGGGCCUGGAGUUGUGGCUCAGAGGUAGAGUGCUUGCCUAGCUUGUGUGAGGCACUGGGUUUGAUCCUCAGCACCACAUAAAAAUAAAGGUAUUAUGCCCACCUACAACUGAAACAUAAAUAAAUAAAAAAUAAAUGUACCUCAACACCAUAAAAGUUACAUAUGUCAAAGUCUAUACUUCGAGGACCCAAAAUACUCCACCAAAAAACUUCUAGAACUAAGAAGUUCAGCAAUGUAGCAGGAUACAAAGUCAGCAUACAAAAAUCAAUAGCUUUCUUAUAUUCCAAAAAGAAUCCACUGGGAAAAAAAUCAGGAAAAUUAGUCCAUUUCCAAUAGCCUCAAAAAAUUACUUGAGAAUAAAUAUAAUCAAGGAAGGGAAAGACCUCUACAAAGAAAACUACAAAAACACUCAAUAAAGAAGUUGAAGAAGACAGAAAGACCUGCUGUGUUCUUAGAUAGGCAGAAUUAAUCUUGUCAGAAGGGCCGUAUUACCAAAAAGUAAUACAUAGAUUCAAUGCAAUCCCCAUCAAAAUUCCAAUGGCAUUCUUCACAGAACUAGAGAAUUGGUCCUAAAAUUCAUACAGAAUAAUAAAAGAACCAGACUACCCAAAGUAAUACUGAGCAAUAGAAAAACAAGCAUGGCAUGGGCAACUGUGAAACAGAAAGUCCAGUGGCCCAUUUUCAGAAUACAGUAUUUAGCUUUAAAUGUAAAAUGAUUUAGGAUAUAAGAAAGGCAUCUGGAAAGGAGAGGAGAAAUUUUUAAAGUUAUAAGCAGUUAACACUGGAUAGUAAAAAUUCAUAGCCCCUUGACAAAUAAGAGGUGAGAAGGAAGAGACCGACCUCACCAAUAGAGAUGAACUGUGUAUGUGCCUAAUGGCACUGGAUCCACAAGGGGACUUUCCUGCCACAUGAGAACAAAGGGAGGUGGGGACAACUAAAGACAUAUUUCUUUUUUUAAAUUUAUUUUUUAUUUUUUUAGGUGUAGAUGGACACAGCACAAUUUUUUAUGUGGUGCUGAGAAUCGAAUCCAGGUCCCGCCCGUGCUGGGCGAGUGCUCUACCACUGAGUCACAAUCCCAGCCCAAUAUAUUUCUUUAAAUAACCCAAUAGAAGACAAUAAACCUAGGUGACACUGGGGAAGAUGAUGCACCCUAUAGAGCUCAGCAAACGAGGAAUUGGAAGGGAUCUGGCGCUUUACGGAACACUGGCUGUACCCAAACUGGGUGACAAGACGCCUGAUCUUGCAAGACUGUCAUUAAAGUAAAGCCUUGCUUUUUGCUCUUUCUUGUUAUCUCUUAGUCCAUUCGCUGGGCCUGGACAGGUGAGCACGUCUCUCACAGUAUCAAAGCAGACUUGAAGAGCAAGCACUAGGGAAAGCCCCACAGAUAGUCAUCUGAUACUUGACAAAUGUGCCAAAAGAACAUGUUGAAGAAAAGGCUGCCUUUUUAACAAAUGGUGCUGGGAAAAGCAGAAACUGGAUAUCCAUAUGUAGAAGAAUCAAACCACAUCUCGUAUCUUUCACCUUGCACAAAAGUUGCCUCAAUGUAGACCAAAGGCCAACAAAUUAGACCAGAAACUUUGCAAAUGCUAGAAGAAAACAUAUGGCCAACACUCCAAUACACUCACGUAGGCAAUGACUUUCUCAACAAGACCCCUGACUGAAUAAAGCUCCAGAAACAAAACCAAGAGUCAAUACAUGGGACAGCACCAAGUUAAGAAGCUUCUGUAUGGCAAAGAAAACGAGAGCACGAAGAGGAAGCCAACAGUGAGGAAAAUAUGCCGGCUACUCUGACAACAGGGGAUUAAUGUCCAAAAUUUAUAAAAACUCAAAAAACUUACCACAAUAAAAGAAAGAAAAGAAAACCAAGCUUAAAAAUAAAAACUAGAAAAAAAUCCAAUCAGUAAAAGGGCAAAAAAUCUAAAUAGAUGUUUCUCAAAAGAAGAAACCAAAUGGCCAACAAAUAUGUAGAAAAAAUGUUCAACAUCCUUCACAAUCAGAAAAAUGCAAAUCAAAACUACACUGAGAACUCAUUUUAUUCCAGUUAGAAUGGCAAUCAUCGGGAAUACAAAUAAUUGCUGGCAAGGAUUCAGAGGAAAUGUACAAUUAUACAUUGUUGGUAGAGCGGCAAAUUAGUACAAUCACUUUGGAAAGCUGUAUGAAGAUUCCUCAAGAGUACAGGAAUGGAACCACCAUGUGACAGCUAUCCCACUUCUUGGUACUUAUCACAAAGAACAAAAGUCAACUAACUACAGUGAUACACACAUAUAAGUAUUUAUAGCAACAGAUUUCACAGUAGCCAGGUUACAGAACCAGCCUAGUUACUUCUCAAUAGAUGAAUGAACAAAUAAAACGUGGUGUAUAUAUAUACACAAUGGAGUUUUACUCAGUCAUAAAGAAGAACGGAAUGAUGUCAUUUGUUGGUAAAUGAAUGAGACUGCUAAGGAAAUGCUAGGUGAAAUAAGCCAAUCUCAGAAAGUCAAAGGUCAACUAUUAGAACAUGUCGAAGUGAGAGCAAGAGAGGGAGGGAGGGAGGGAAGGAGAAGGGGCGGGGAGACAGAAUGUGCAUGAAUGAUUGUACCAUAAUGGAACACAUUUUUAUAUAUGAUUAUAAUGUUCCUUUAAAAUACUAACAAUAACAACAGAGGGAAGAUGAUUAGAGCAGAGCAAUCAGAUCAUGAGGAAGACAGGCAGGAGGGAAGGGAAUGUACUGGGGAACAUGACUGAUCAAUGUACAUGUACAAAUAUAGCAUAAUGAAUUCCACUAGUAUGCAUAAUCAUAAGAUAUCAGCUUAAAAAGCAUGACACAUGUAAGUAUGGAAAUGACAAACUGAAACUCUUUAAUUUGGACAAUUAUGUGUUAAUAAUUAUAAUAAUAAUUUAAAAUUUAAAAUAUUCUUUCAUAUAUCUUUUCCAGAGCAUCAAAACAACCUUGAAUGCUGUGAAGAAAUAAAUGUUUGAUUUCAAUUUGGACCACAUGCAAAAAAUUUCCAAAUACAGAUAUAGUUUAUAAUUUUUUUGCUUUGAAAUAUGUUAAAUUAAUUGCCACUUUACAUUUAUCAUUUAAUCACCUUUUAAAACUUUCAACAUUUUAUGUUUAUACAACUUUUCAAAUAGGUAAGCAUUUCUUUUCUUUUUUUUUUUUUUAAAGAGAGAGAAUUUUUAAUGUUUAUUUUUUAGUUAUCGGUAGACAACAUCUUUGUAUGUGGUGCUGAGGAUCGAACCCGGGCCGCACGCAUGCCAGGCGAGCGCGCUACCGCUUGAGCCACAUCCCCAGCCCAAGUAAGCAAUUCUUAGACAUGGAAAUACAUCUUCUUUUUCUCUUCUAUAAUGUUUAAUAUACUGACAUGUAUUUGGUGAAUAAUCAAGAUUUUAAAUCUUGAUUUUUUUUUCUUUACACAAGUCCAUUUUUUCUAAAAACAAAAUUAAAUUAUUGUCUUAAAAUAAUUACUACAAGUUUCUAGGAAAUUGUUAUUUAAAAGAGAAAAAAUGCUUUUAAGGAAAUAAUCCUGCCAAAUCAAAUCUUAUGGAUAUUUCAACCAUUAUGAAAAAUGUUGCUUUCAUUUUAUGAAAUUUUAAUUACUGACCAUUUUAUAAUGAGCAGUGACCCAGGACAUUUUUGUCUUCUCAAAAUAGAAAUACAGCCUAUUUUCAUCUAAGUGACUGCAGUACUAAAACUGCCAUGCUAAACAAGGUAUUUCUUUGACUAUUUUGUUUACAUAAUUUAGUUUAUGGCUUUUAACAACAUUUGGCUCACUAAAUAUCUACUUUAAAAAUAAAUUCUGCACAAUAUGUUGGAGUGUUGAAACUUUUUUGUAGUACUUGCAAAGUUUCUGGUCUAAUUUC
Molecule: long non-coding RNA, 5011 nt
Filed under: Marmota monax (woodchuck)
Lineage: Eukaryota; Metazoa; Chordata; Mammalia; Rodentia; Sciuridae
Source: RNAcentral